GCCUGACUUCCUGCUCUAUACUAUGAUCAGGUAUGGGGCCUGACUUCCUGCUCUAUACUAUGAUCAGGUGUGGGGCCUGACUUCCUGCUCUAUACUAUGAUCAGGUAUGGGGCCUGACUUCCUGCUCUAUACUAUGAUCAGGUGUGGGGCCUGACUUCCUGCUCUAUACUAUGAUCAGGUAUGGGGCCUGACUUCCUGCACUUCCUGAGGAUGAUGUCAUACUUUCACUUUCAGCUGCUUGUCUCCCCUCUGGCAGGACCAGUCCAAAUAUAACAUGAAGGAUCCAUUGGCCUAGUGUGAGACCAUGAAAACCGUGAGGUAUCAUGGGUAAAUUGUGACUGACUGAUGUACAAAUAAUAUUAAGUAGUUAUUUAUGAUGCAAGGUGGUUUGUAGAUCAGUCAAGUCUCGUCUUUAAAUUCGGCGGCCAUGUCUAACGGUCCCAUUUUGUUUUUCUGGGCGGGAACAUACAUAGACCAUGUUACAUACAUGAUAUAUACACAUAGACCAUGUAUGAUUUAGUUGUAUUACCAUAGUGAUGAGACUUUUCUCCUGUAACUUUCACAGGAGUGUUUAUUUAUGAAUCCUUUUGUAUCAAAGAAAUACAUUGGAACAACCAAAACAACUGAGCCGCCCCAAAUAUAAAAGGAACAUUGUUAAUAUGAUUUGUUGAUAUGUUUUCAUUAAUUACUAAAGCAAUACUCUUUUAUAAGGUCAUUGUUAUUAUAUUGACAUCACAAAUGCAGAAUGUGUGGAUUAAGACGUGUUUUCUAAUUCUUUCAUCAACACACAUACGCAUUACUUUUUGUAAAUAAAUGUAUGGAGCUGUUCUGUUUCUCUGUAUAGUUGUACAGAGUAAAUGUGAUACAGCCUGGGAUUGAACCCGGGUCUGUAGUGACGUCUCUAGCACUGAGAGGCAGUACCAUAGAACGCUAUGUCACCCAGGAGGCUAUAGUGGACUACUCCUGACCGUGAUCCAUAGUCCACUGUUAGGAUAGAAGAUAGAAGAGCUGUGUCACAUGUCAAGGUGUCUGUAUUCUUCUGACUGGGUUUUGAAACUGUCACAAUAUCACCCCCCCAAAAAAAUGGAACUUUUGUAUAUUGUGAAUGAACUGGCUUUAGGGAGAAGGGUUCCGACAUCAUUCCACAACAGAAUGGUUCUAAUUUAGAAUGAUUCCUUUACAUUCCUUCCUAAAGAGCACGUAAAACAAACACAGCACUUGAUGACAGUUUACAGUUGACUAGCUUUAGGCUUUAGGUUGAGGAUGAUUCAACAAAUGUCUUGUUUUACCAGACUGUUAAAAGUAAGUAGAAAACCCCUGCCUGUUUACUGCCAAGGAAAAGUACUGUGAUAUUAUAUAUGAACGUCAUUUCACUCAUCAUUACAACCAGACGUAUAGCUCUCUAUUCAUCCUGGAUGGCUGAAACGUUACAGACUGUGCGGUAGAAAUGUAAAGGUAAUUUCAGAUGGAGACGACAUCUGCAGUGUUUACGGUAAAUGCAGUCUCCGCUAUAACGCGGGAACAUUGCCCUUAAAUUUAAAUCAAGCCGUACCGUUGUACUUCAGUGAUACGGAUUGCAUAGAGCGCUUCAAUAAUGACUUUGUCUGAUAAAUAUUUGAAUACUAAUCAUAAAAUACCCACUAGUUUCUAAAUGAUACGGUGGUGUUUCACAGCUUUACAGUUGGAAUUAAAGUUGAGACCCAGCAGGCAUAAUUUGGCGUGGGUACGUCAGAAAAGGAGAUCAGUUUAAAAUAUUUUCUAUCAAUUUUUCUAUCUACUAUUUACCCUUUUGGAAGAAAUAUGAAUUGAUUUUGUUUUAAAUCUCUCCUUGUUAUGCUUGAUGUCACAGUAUGAGUGAAAGCUUUGUGUAUAAAAGGUGUACUUUGGUAUGUGGCCAUUACAUAACUCUGUACCAGGGGUCUCCAACCCUGUAGGUUUACACUCCAACCCUGUUCCUGGAGAGAUAUUGUCCUGUAGGUUUUAACUCCACCUCCAGGACAGUAUCUCUCCAGGAACAGGGUUGGAGGGCCCUGUAUGUAACUACUAUACACAUUGACCAUGAUAUCACCAUAUCAUCACUAUAGAUAUCAAUAUGUUGUUGUUUACACCGUUGAA
This is a long non-coding RNA of Oncorhynchus tshawytscha (Chinook salmon), 2115 nucleotides long. NCBI's taxonomy places the organism in Eukaryota, Metazoa, Chordata, Actinopteri, Salmoniformes, Salmonidae. The record is from Ensembl.